Molecule: long non-coding RNA, 3578 nt
Filed under: Struthio camelus australis
Lineage: Eukaryota; Metazoa; Chordata; Aves; Struthioniformes; Struthionidae
Description: lncRNA (ENSSCUG00000018971.1)
Source: RNAcentral
CGCUGCGCCGCUGAUGGCUGGGGACGUCUCACUUCAUCUGUCACCAGUUCUGCUCGCCUGCCCAGCUGUCAAAACAGGGGGUGUCUUUUUCAUUCCAGCUCACAAAGUACCAAAGGGGAAAGGGGCUUUAAUGCCUGUGUUUGGACACAAGCAAUUAUCCCUAAUUAUUGUUUUUCUUUUGAGCCUGCCCGUCCUGCUGGAGAGCCAGCAGAUGAGCAUGCCCUAAUCCUCGCCAGUCGGUUGAUCUCAGUGGGUUUUGCAGGACAAACCGGGCGAGAAGGCUUCGUGGCUUUCAUCUCGAUGUGAGUUUUGAACUGAUUGAAACUCGUUGCGAUGGGAGAAUUAACCUCGGAGCCCAGGCUUUCAAUGGCCUCUGAUAAGAGAUUAUACGUGUUGAUGGCAAGCUUUUCUUGGCAAAAUGUUUUCAAAGGACUUGGAGCUGUUAAAUCAAAGCACUAUUGAAUUGGUGGUAGGCCCCUUUAGAGCUCUCCCUCCUCCUCAUUCCCUAGUAAUAUCUGUUGGUAAUUACUGGCAGGAGUGGGAGAAGGGAAACAAAAAAUCCCCCCUGAGCUACACACUCACGCACACAUGGGUGAUAAGCAAUAUUGGCUGGAGAACUACGGGGAAGCCAGAAGAAAAUUUUCUUAAUCCCACAGAGGAUAAUUAUAUAAACACUCAUGAUGCUUCAUGAUAAAUCCUGUUCUAGUGAUAAAUCAUCUCAUGAUAAAUCUCUGUUUCUUGCUUUUGCAGGGUUGCAUAGCAAUCCAAGGACCCAGACUUCAAUGUUCUUUCUUCAGUAAUUCACCCUUACUGAAAGAGAAAAGAAAAGAGAAAAGAAGAGAAGAGAAGAGGAAAGGAAAGGAGAAGAGAAAAGAGAAGAGAUGAGAAGAGAAAGGAAGGAGGUCUCACAGAAGAGUGACAGGCUAUGUGAAUCCAGCCGUGGAUGUGUGUUCAUGUGCAUAAGAAAAGACAGGAGAGAAGUCACACCAAUGGGAGGAGAAUUAGGAGGAGUUUACCAGAAGUAUCUAUCUGUACCUGUGUGCUCCCUGUCAGCACUCACCUGUGACGUAACAGAUUAUUCUCAAAACCUCUCUCACCCUGAUUUGGAGUGGGGACUUGAACUCAGCUCUUCCAUAUCCCAGGAGAGGAAAUCUACAGCCAAUCUGUUGGAUAAUUGCACUCUCUCUCCUGUAGAAGCUGUUCUGUUUUGUAUGAAUAAUUAACUACUCAUUACAGUAGUGGUUUGGACCUGACUUGCCCACAUCCCAGAUGAGCACACUAAUCAGCAGGCUGGAGAAUCACUCUCUCACACUUCCCGUUCUCCUGUCUGGCUCAGCAAACAUUUAAUUAUUUAUACAAAGGGUUUAAUAUUGCUUAAAGAGAAUUUGAUAACUGUUUUUCUCUGUCCUCAGGUAAGUUCUUGCUCUCAGGAACACUGGGCUAAGUAUGAUUGUGCGUGAGCAGGGCACAGGGAAAGGCCUUCUUCUACACUUCAUAGCAAUGAGGCCUAGCUUGCCUACUUCCAAAAGGAGGGUCACAGCUGAGAACCUCAGCGAGGCAUGGCUGGGAUUCAUGCACCUGAAUGCCUAAGGCAUUGCUGUCCUUAGCAUUUCACACCUAAGGGAAGGGAAGUCCCCUCUUUUCUCUUCUAGAGAACCUAACUCUUCCCCUGGUUGGUAGCAGAAGCAGGAAUAUCCCUGCUUUGGGAACGAGGAUCCCAAAGGGAGCCUAAGCCCCAAUGUCUGAUCUGCGUUCUUUCAUCAUCUUACCCCUUGUUCCUCUGACUCCGUGAAUUCAUCGCAGCAGCUCCAAGAAAUUAUAAGUGAGACUUUGGACUCACUUAGGUGUAGUACCUGAUAUGAACUUGAAUUCUUCAGCUGAAUCACAGCGGUCCAGUUGCAGCAAUCCUGACCAGAAAAAAAAAGUGCCAGCUGUGUUCGACCUGCAUGGAAGGGUGGGACUCCAGUGUACACCAGGCUCUCAUCCCACGCAGGUGACUUUUGCCAAUGGGGUCAGAGAGCACAGGCCAAAGUAGCGCCCCCUUGCGUGCUGAUAUACGGGUGCAUGUAGGCAAUUAGGAGACCGAACUCGAGCGCAACAUCAGGCUUACAGCUGUGUGGCAGCCAGGAAGAUCAGUCAUACAUGUGGUCUUACUGUUCAUGGGCACACUGAUAUGGCAUUUAAGCAAACAAAUGUCCUCCAGACUGUUCACUGUGUUUUGUGAGACUUCAAGGAGAAAAACGUUUCUGGGGAUGAGGUGAUCUGUUCUAAGGAAAGCUUCCAUUUGAAGUCCAGAAAGAGGGGAAAUUCCCACUGAAACCUGUUCACUGAUGAGGACUAAGCAGUGAUUUACAAAAAAUUGCAAAAACUGCAAUGUGUUGUCAUUCAGUCCCACCAGAAGUGUCUGCACCAGCAGAGAGAGGGGGGCAGACCCAUAUUUGCUUCUACUAGAUGAGUGUGUGGCCCUAAGAUACCUCAAAACACCCGCCUGACACGGACAUGUUACUUCAGUGUAUGAUUGCUCAGCAGAGUGAGGGGACUGGUGGUUUGUUUGGACAUGCAGACUCAUGUGAUGCAGAAAAUUCAGCAUUCUAUGUUAAUGGCUCCUGAGAGAGGUCAAAUCCAUUGCAAUAGACGUCAACUCACAGCAGUCUGCUUAUAUGAACAGAAUCCUUCCCAAGGUUAGAGAAAGUCAGGGAAGGGGAUAGCAAUAGUUUUCUAAAAAAAAAGGAAAACCAGCCUUGAAGUACAAAUGUUACAGAAGGUGUUGGAAUUAUUGUGGGUGGCUUAGAAGCUUACAGGCUGAAUCCUUUGUCUGUCAAUUGUGUUUUAUAAUAUUGACUUGACCUGCCAUUGUUCUCUGAAGAAGUCAGUCUUUUCAAGAUGAAUGACCUUUGGCUUAGCAGGCUUGAGGUGUUAAGGCUGUAACUUUAAUGCAGAACACGUUACGGUUAACCUUUAAAAACAUUUGGAAAUGAACACAGGAAUAUCUGUUGAAUAGAAUACUUUGUGAAGAGCAAAUAUCUGCCUGUUGUCCAGUUUAUCAUGAAGGCUGAACCUGCUGGUUGUACUCUACAAAACCUGAAAUAACACCCAGUUGGCUGGGAGAGUGCCACUUUUUGCUUAUUUUAUUGUGAGAUUGAAGAUCUCCUGUGUGGCUAUUUUUGUUAAUUGUAGUUUUUUAUCUUUCCCUGGUUGCCUGCACCUCUAAAAGAUGCUCCCUCUUGUGGUCUAGUGAGAUUUAUGGCACAGGAUAUGAAUUACACCAUGCUUGACCCUUUGCAUAAAGCUGGGGGGGGGAUAGGGGACAAGACAGGGAUUUAUGAACUGGAAAGGGGGUCAUUCAUAAACUUGAUUUGUGACUGAUUAUUUUCAUUGUUGCAAGGUACCCACAUUCACCUUCCUCAGAGACAAAUGAUAAAUUUAAAUUGCUAACUAAACAUUUGCAAAGUCUUCUGAAAGAAACAGGAUUGUCCUCUUGAGUAAUGAUUCUCCUCUCUAGGAAACAAAGACAGUGCUCCAUUUCUCAUCAAUAUAAUAAUAAUAAAAAUCAUUUACAUGUCUGCUUUCCUCUGUAG